CCAGUGUUUGCGCGGCAACAUACCCUGAACCCUGAUGCAGCUACAGCAGAUCCCAGGAACUAAGAGCUUGAUAUGCAGACCUCCCAGGAACUGGAUAGGGGGGCUCUGCAGCAGACAUGUAUCCAGUAUAGAAACAAGGCAAGGCUAGGAUAGUCACCAAACACGAAAACAAGACUAAUAGAACCCAGAACCAGAGCAGGACAGAAAGCAGAACCCAG
Molecule: non-coding RNA, 218 nt
Organism: Pelobates cultripes (western spadefoot toad)
Lineage: Eukaryota; Metazoa; Chordata; Amphibia; Anura; Pelobatidae
Source: the annotation of a GenBank genome assembly